Molecule: non-coding RNA, 76 nt
Organism: Podarcis lilfordi (Lilford's wall lizard)
Lineage: Eukaryota; Metazoa; Chordata; Lepidosauria; Squamata; Lacertidae
Source: the annotation of a GenBank genome assembly
GGAAACACCUAUAGCUCAGUGGUAGAACAUCUGCUUUGCAUGCAGAAGGUCCCAGGCUCAAUCUUUGGUGUCUCUU